RNAcentral lists this long non-coding RNA (237 nucleotides) under Hordeum vulgare. RNAcentral's name for it is "long non-coding RNA (HVUL_LNC021103)". Lineage: Eukaryota; Viridiplantae; Streptophyta; Magnoliopsida; Poales; Poaceae. The record is from RNAcentral.
AAAGGAAGAGGGUUGUAGAUUAACAGUCGGUUGUAACACGAGCUCCAAAAAACAUUGUGAUGAUGUAAGGUGAAUCAUGUAGUAAUAAACUAAUACUUCUUAACAACUUGUUACUAUACGUGUUGACUAUUAGGUCGGCUAUAUAUGACAUGGCAACUCCUUAUAGCCGGCAGUUGGCUAUACUAUUAAUCAUGCUCUAAGCAAAAAAUAUGAUGUGACAAUUAAUUAAUGAGAAGA